GGCGCUAUAGUGUAGUGGCUAUCACAGCGGAUUCUGAUCUUACCAAAAUAGGAGAUGACUUUCCGCUAACCCAGGUUCGAACCCUGGUAGCGCCU
This is a non-coding RNA of Lactarius quietus, 95 nucleotides long. The record is from the annotation of a GenBank genome assembly. NCBI's taxonomy places the organism in Eukaryota, Fungi, Basidiomycota, Agaricomycetes, Russulales, Russulaceae.